GUAAGGGAACAGGGAUACUGGAGUGAUGGAGGUAGAUAUGUAUAGGGGUUAGGGAACAGGGAUACUGGAGUGAUGGAGGUAGAUAUGUAUAGGGGUAAGGGAACAGGGAUACUGGAGUGAUGGAGGUAGAUAUGUAUAGGGGUAAGGGGACAGGGAUACUGGAGUGAUGGAGGUAGAUAUGUAUAGGGGUAAGGGGACAGGGAUACUGGAGUGAUGGAGGUAGAUAUGUAUAGGGGUAAGGUGACAGGGAUACUGGAGUGAUGGAGGUAGAUAUGUAUAGGGGUAAGGUGACAGGGAUACUGGAGUGAUGGAGGUAGAUAUGUAUAGGGGUAAGGUGACAGGGAUACUGGAGUGAUGGAGGUAGAUAUGUAUAGGGGUAAGGUGACAGGGAUACUGGAGUGUUGGAGGUAGAUAUGUAUAGGGGGAAGGGGACAGGCAUACUGGAGUGAUGGAGGUAGAUAUGUAGAGGGGUAAGGUGACAGGGAUACUGGAGUGAUGGAUGUAGAUAUGUAUAGGGGUAAGGUGACAAAAUACAG
Molecule: long non-coding RNA, 536 nt
Organism: Oncorhynchus tshawytscha (Chinook salmon)
Lineage: Eukaryota; Metazoa; Chordata; Actinopteri; Salmoniformes; Salmonidae
Source: Ensembl